GAACUGAAGAGUUUGAUCAUGGCUCAGAUUGAACGCUGGCGGCAGGCCUAACACAUGCAAGUCGAGCGGAUGAGUGGAGCUUGCUCCAUGAUUCAGCGGCGGACGGGUGAGUAAUGCCUAGGAAUCUGCCUGGUAGUGGGGGACAACGUUUCGAAAGGAACGCUAAUACCGCAUACGUCCUACGGGAGAAAGCAGGGGACCUUCGGGCCUUGC
Molecule: ribosomal RNA, 213 nt
Filed under: Pseudomonas sp. ATCC 13867
Lineage: Bacteria; Pseudomonadati; Pseudomonadota; Gammaproteobacteria; Pseudomonadales; Pseudomonadaceae
Description: partial 16S ribosomal RNA
Rfam family: Bacterial small subunit ribosomal RNA
Source: RNAcentral